UACGUAGGUGACAAGCGUUGUCCGGAUUUACUGGGCGUAAAGAGCGCGCAGGCGGUCGUUCAAGUCGAGUGUGAAAGCCCCCGGCUCAACUGGGGAGGGUCAUUCGAUACUGAUCGACUCGAAGGCAGGAGAGGGUAGUGGAAUUCCCGGUGUAGUGGUGAAAUGCGUAGAUAUCGGGAGGAACAUCUGUGGCGAAGGCGACACCCUGGACCAGCACUGACACUGAGGCACGAAAGCGUGGGGAGCAAACAGG
RNAcentral lists this ribosomal RNA (253 nucleotides) under uncultured bacterium. Its description in RNAcentral is "partial 16S ribosomal RNA". It matches the Rfam family "Bacterial small subunit ribosomal RNA", at positions 524 to 776 of the family's 1533-position model. The record is from RNAcentral.